Molecule: non-coding RNA, 799 nt
Organism: Monodelphis domestica (gray short-tailed opossum)
Lineage: Eukaryota; Metazoa; Chordata; Mammalia; Didelphimorphia; Didelphidae
Source: RefSeq, a predicted model, not a curated record
UUCUCCUCUCCACAACCUAUAGACAUUGUGGGAAGAAGAAUCAAGACCAGGGCAGAGGAUUGGGAGACCUUCCUCUUGCUAAUAAAUCAGAACACCAUGCAGCAUCUCACUCACUCAUCCAGAAAAGAAGGGGUACCCCGAGAAUUAGCCUGGGAACUAAACACAAAGAUUCCUCCCAUCCUUCCCCCUAACAUCCCCCUGCUUCUUAUCUAAGGGUCACUUCCUAGCCUGUCUGAACAAGAUGGUUCUCUUUCCAGGCUUCAAACAAAAAACAUGAAGGCUUUGAGACUAUUUUGGAUACCCUGGAUGAAAUCCCAUAUAAGAAUGAUUCUACCAUAACAAAUUCAGUCAGUCUUUAUGAACUCAUCCCAAAACGUGAACAUUUGAAAGGUCAUUUCCAAUACAUGGGCUCCCUUACUUUUCCUGAAUGUGCAGAAGGGGUUAUCUGGACUGUGUUUAAGAAACGUAUACAACUUCACAACACUCAGAUCUUGCAAUUCUCCAAGAAGAUAUUCUAUAAUGAGAAGGGAGAGAAAGACAUGCCCAUCAUAGACAACUUCCGGCCAAUACAAAAGCAAUGGAGUCGACCUGUCUUUCACUCCAGGGUGGGAGGACUUUUGCCCCAUACCUGGCCCAUGUUUCUGACUCUUGCGUUGACCUACCUCCUGGCUGUCUUCCUCUACUGAAAGGCCCUGGACUUGGGACCUCUGAUCCCUCGACUUUUGACCUGCUGGACUCUGGAUUUUCACAGAUAUACUAUAUAGCUGUAUAUAUAUUUUUAGAUAAAUUUUUCCUCAGC